Molecule: ribosomal RNA, 595 nt
Filed under: Hepatozoon canis
Lineage: Eukaryota; Apicomplexa; Hepatozoidae
Description: bacterial SSU rRNA
Rfam family: Eukaryotic small subunit ribosomal RNA
Source: RNAcentral
GUUCAUGCUUUUAUAGUAUGAAAAUUGGUGAUUUAUAAUAACUUAGCAAAUCGCAAAGUGAAAACAGGCGAUAAAUCAUUCAAGUUUCUGACCUAUCAGCUUUCGACGGUAUGGUAUUGGCUUACCGUGGCAGUGACGGUUAACGGGGGAUUAGGGUUCGAUUCCGGAGAGGGAGCCUGAGAAACGGCUACCACAUCUAAGGAAGGCAGCAGGCGCGCAAAUUACCCAAUUCUAACAGUUUGAGAGAGGUAGUAACAAGAAAUAACAAUACAAGGCAGUUAAAAUGCUUUGUAAUUGGAAUGAUAGAAAUUUAAACCCUUUUUAAAGUAUCAAUUGGAGGGCAAGUCUGGUGCCAGCAGCCGCGGUAAUUCCAGCUCCAAUAGCGUAUAUUAAAAUUGUUGCAGUUAAAAAGCUCGUAGUUGAAGUUCUGCUGAAAGUAACCGGUCUGCUUUUAAUAAAAGUGGUAUCUUGGUAUGUAUUUAGCAAUGAUGUCCUUUGAAGUGUUUUUUACUUUAUUGUAAUAAAGCAUAUUCAGGACUUUUACUUUGAGAAAAUUAGAGUGUUUCUAGCAGGCUAACGCUUUGAAUACUGCAGC